This 617-nucleotide long non-coding RNA is filed under the name Olea europaea subsp. europaea. Lineage: Eukaryota; Viridiplantae; Streptophyta; Magnoliopsida; Lamiales; Oleaceae. The record is from RNAcentral.
AUUUUGACUAGAUUAAGUUAAAUAAGAUUCAUCUGCUUAAGCCCCUUGUGCUACUUAACAUGCCAAUCUUUGUUCCCGUAUUUUUGCCCAAUCCACUUGGGAUAGUGGUGUAAAUCGAGACAUGUCAGCUAAGUAUGAUGCCACUACUUAAGCCCAUCAUACUACUGAAGAAACUAAUUCUUUUUGCUCAGGAUUUUGCUCAUUCAGAGCAAUCCAGUAUGGGCUUCCCCUAGGGUUAUAGAACCCCUCCAGACAAGACACAAGGGGAGGAGCUCUUUUUUUUUGGCACUAUUUUAUGAGAGAUGCUCCUUAAACGGACCCAAAAACAGGGGGCCUAUUCAAGGAGUUUUUUGCUAUUUUAUUUACAUGGGGCCCACUCCCAUGUGAGACUUCUGUAUUAUUUUGUAAAUUCCAGAUCUGUACAAAUGGAAUAAUACAAUAAAAAUUGGCCAAAAAGAUUUGCCUCUUUGCACUUCAGAGAGUUGCAAAGACUUCAAUGUUUGUUUUAUUUUUUUUUUCAAAAGAGGCCUGCAGAGGCCAAACUGGGCAGGUCCUGGGACUAGACUUCCAUGGUCAUAACUAAUGUGUAACCGUCUCCUUUAGACCGCAGAACCAGC